This 551-nucleotide long non-coding RNA is filed under the name Homo sapiens (human). Its description in RNAcentral is "long non-coding RNA NONHSAT163848.1". The record is from RNAcentral. Lineage: Eukaryota; Metazoa; Chordata; Mammalia; Primates; Hominidae.
GCGCUCGCAGGCUGCCUAGUCGUUCGCUCGCUCUCUCUCGCGUGCUCCCUCUCGCCGCCUGUGGGGAAGUCGGGGCCGCCCGAGCGGCCGUCGCCACCGCCUCGCCCCGACCUCCUUCCCGGUCCCCUCCCGGCCCAGUCCCUCCCGCCCGCGCACCCCGAGUAGUGAGUGGCCCCGCGCAGGGUCUGGAGAGUCACCGCGGCGGCGCCGGGUGGUGGUUAAACCAUGUUAAGGAGGAUUUUACAGAGGACUCCUGGGAGAGUUGGCUCUCAAGGUUCUGAUUUAGAUUCAUCAGCAACUCCUAUAAACACAGUGGACGUCAAUAAUGAAAGCUCUUCAGAGGGUUUCAUAUGUCCCCAGUGUAUGAAAUCUCUUGGAUCUGCUGAUGAACUUUUCAAACAUUAUGAAGCUGUUCAUGAUGCUGGUAAUGACUCAGGUCAUGGAGGAGAGUCUAAUCUUGCUUUGAAGCGAGAUGAUGUAACACUGCUCAGACAAGAGGUCCAAGACCUACAGGCUUCACUUAAGGAAGAAAAAUGGUACUCGGAAGAAUU